AACGAGAGAUGAAGAGCUCGCUCUUCAAAUCGAGUGGCGAACGGGUGAGUAACGCGUGAGGAACCUGCCUCAAAGAGGGGGACAACAGUUGGAAACGACUGCUAAUACCGCAUAAGCCCACAGCUCGGCAUCGAGCAGAGGGAAAAGGAGCAAUCCGCUUUGAGAUGGCCUCGCGUCCGAUUAGCUAGUUGGUGAGGUAAUGGCCCACCAAGGCGACGAUCGGUAGCCGGACUGAGAGGUUGAACGGCCACAUUGGGACUGAGACACGGCCCAGACUCCUACGGGAGGCAGCAGUGGGGAAUAUUGCACAAUGGGGGAAACCCUGAUGCAGCGACGCCGCGUGGAGGAAGAAGGUCUUCGGAUUGUAAACUCCUGUUGUUGAGGAAGAUAAUGACGGUACUCAACAAGGAAGUGACGGCUAACUACGUGCCAGCAGCCGCGGUAAAACGUAGGUCACAAGCGUUGUCCGGAAUUACUGGGUGUAAAGGGAGCGCAGGCGGGAGAACAAGUUGGAAGUGAAAUCCAUGGGCUCAACCCAUGAACUGCUUUCAAAACUGUUUUUCUUGAGUAGUGCAGAGGUAGGCGGAAUUCCCGGUGUA
Molecule: ribosomal RNA, 599 nt
Filed under: uncultured bacterium
Lineage: Bacteria
Description: bacterial SSU rRNA
Rfam family: Bacterial small subunit ribosomal RNA
Source: RNAcentral